RNAcentral lists this ribosomal RNA (430 nucleotides) under uncultured Bifidobacterium sp. Its description in RNAcentral is "bacterial SSU rRNA". It matches the Rfam family "Bacterial small subunit ribosomal RNA", at positions 210 to 640 of the family's 1533-position model. Lineage: Bacteria; Bacillati; Actinomycetota; Actinomycetes; Bifidobacteriales; Bifidobacteriaceae. The record is from RNAcentral.
CUUUUGCGGCAUGGGAUGGGGUCGCGUCCUAUCAGCUUGUUGGCGGGGUGAUGGCCCACCAAGGCGUUGACGGGUAGCCGGCUUGAGAGGGUGACCGGCCACAUUGGGACUGAGAUACGGCCCAGACUCCUACGGGAGGCAGCAGUGGGGAAUAUUGCACAAUGGGCGCAAGCCUGAUGCAGCGACGCCGCGUGCGGGAUGGAGGCCUUCGGGUUGUAAACCGCUUUUGUUCAAGGGCAAGGCACGGUUUCGGCCGUGUUGAGUGGAUUGUUCGAAUAAGCACCGGCUAACUACGUGCCAGCAGCCGCGGUAAUACGUAGGGUGCGAGCGUUAUCCGGAUUUAUUGGGCGUAAAGGGCUCGUAGGCGGUUCGUCGCGUCCGGUGUGAAAGUCCAUCGCCUAACGGUGGAUCUGCGCCGGGUACGGGCGGG